GAUGAACGCUGGCGGCGUGCCUUCACAUGCAAGUCGAACGAACCUUCGGGUGAGCGGCGGACGGGUUAGUAACGCGUGGGAACGUGCCCUUCUCUACGGAAUAGCCUCUGGAAACGGAGAGUAAUACCGUAUACGCCCUUUGGGGGAAAGAUUUAUCGGAGAAGGAUCGGCCCGCGUUAGAUUAGGUAGUUGGUGGGGUAACGGCCUACCAAGCCUACGAUCUAUAGCUGGUUUUAGAGGAUGAUCAGCAACACUGGGACUGAGACACGGCCCAGACUCCUACGGGAGGCAGCAGUGGGGAAUCUUAGACAAUGGGGGCAACCCUGAUCUAGCCAUGCCGCGUGAGUGAUGAAGGCCUUAGGGUCGUAAAGCUCUUUCGCCUGUGAUGAUAAUGACAGUAGCAGGUAAAGAAACCCCGGCUAACUCCGUG
This 430-nucleotide ribosomal RNA is filed under the name uncultured bacterium. RNAcentral's name for it is "bacterial SSU rRNA". It matches the Rfam family "Bacterial small subunit ribosomal RNA", at positions 28 to 507 of the family's 1533-position model. The record is from RNAcentral.